GACGAACGCUGGCGGCGUGCUUAACACAUGCAAGUCGAACGGAAAGGCCCUGCUUUUGUGGGGUGCUCGAGUGGCGAACGGGUGAGUAACACGUGAGUAACCUGCCCUUGACUUUGGGAUAACUUCAGGAAACUGGGGCUAAUACCGGAUAGGAGCUCCUGCUGCAUGGUGGGGGUUGGAAAGUUUCGGCGGUUGGGGAUGGACGCGCGGCUUAUCAGCUUGUUGGUGGGGUAGUGGCUUACCAAGGCUUUGACGGGUAGCCGGCCUGAGAGGGUGACCGGCCACCUUGGGACUGAGAUACGGCCCAGACUCCUACGGGGGGCAGCAGUGGGGAAUAUUGCACAAUGGGCGGAAGCCUGAUGCAGCAACGCCGCGUGCGGGAUGACGGCCUUCGGGUUGUAAACCGCUUUCGCCUGUGACGAAGCGUGAGUGACGGUAAUGGGUAAAGAAGCACCGGCUAACUACGUG
RNAcentral lists this ribosomal RNA (468 nucleotides) under uncultured bacterium. RNAcentral's name for it is "partial 16S ribosomal RNA". It matches the Rfam family "Bacterial small subunit ribosomal RNA", at positions 28 to 507 of the family's 1533-position model. The record is from RNAcentral.